RNAcentral lists this long non-coding RNA (576 nucleotides) under Nicotiana benthamiana. RNAcentral describes it as "long non-coding RNA (NBEN_LNC036717)". Lineage: Eukaryota; Viridiplantae; Streptophyta; Magnoliopsida; Solanales; Solanaceae. The record is from RNAcentral.
AAAAUUAAAGGUUAGAACGAGCAGCUUCCCAGAUUUUGAUUAUUUUACCUAUGAGCUUCCUAAGACACUCAAUACAUAACAACAGUAUUCAAAAUAGAUGUUAGAUACCAGACAAAUAAACAUAUAUAUAGGUAGCCAACUUUAUUAUCUAAAGGAAAGGAGGAAGAAAACUGGACCCGUUGAAUUGGGCCGAUAAUUGUUCAGUCCCAACAUAUUAAUGUGCACGAACAAUGGACUUGACAAGAGAUACGACGACCCAGAUAUGAAAAUAGGCCUGAGCUCCAGAUGGGCUCGGUAGGCCCAAGUUGGGUUCAUCCAUAGAAAGAGAUGAAAAUAAUUGACUAAAUCUCACUUUAUACCUAUUAAUUCCAAACUAUUUACCCUUUAAUGCUCAGGUUCAAACUAUUCAUUACUCCUACCUAUGCGGCCCAAACUAUUUACCCGCUAAUUCCAAUCGCUGCUAGUUACUACCAACAACAGAUCAAUUCCUAUGGACAUCGAUUGCAACAUUAAUUCUUGAAUGUAUGAAAAACUACUGUACUGUUUUGAUAAAGUUUUUAUAGUUUAUGCGACCAA